CUCUAGCCCUGAUGGGAGCGGCAUCCUUUUGUGCCGGUGUUCGGCAUAAAAGAUACAGCAGACAGCAGGAAACAGC
Molecule: non-coding RNA, 76 nt
Organism: Flavobacterium plurextorum
Lineage: Bacteria; Pseudomonadati; Bacteroidota; Flavobacteriia; Flavobacteriales; Flavobacteriaceae
Source: Rfam